This is an RNA transcript of Jatropha curcas, 1313 nucleotides long. It is a transcript of the gene named cofactor assembly of complex C, with no coding region annotated. Lineage: Eukaryota; Viridiplantae; Streptophyta; Magnoliopsida; Malpighiales; Euphorbiaceae. The record is from RefSeq and is a predicted model, not a curated record.
UAUGAAAAGCAUAUAAAAUAAGAACAGAAACGAACAAUCAAUUUUAAUACAAAUGGAAGCGGGAACUAUCAUCCACAACGCCAUUCCAUGGAAACCCAAACGCCAAACCCGACGUUCAGUCUCUGCUCACCUCCUCAAUUUCCGUUGCUUCGUCAGGGCUUCUUCAAAUUCACAGGGUGGAUAUAGAGGACCCAAGCCGAGGAGAGAUUGGGUUGCAGAUUUCGUAUCGAACAACGACGACACCGUUCGAAGCCUGCCGAUAUACGUUGGAGGUGUUUCUCUAUUGGCUGUGCUCUUGAAUCGAACCGCUGCUAAUAUAGCUCCAGUUGCCGAUGCCAGUAGUUCACAGUCCAGAGCUGAUUUAUUGACACUUGGAUUGGCUGUGACCAAUAUAUUAACAGGUCUCAUAUGGCUCACUAUCAAGCCAAAGUCCAUAUCUGCGGUAGAUCCUCAAGGAGUGGAGUGUCGCAUUAUUUAUUCCCACCUCCAUGAUUUUGUGGUUUCUGAGCUAUUAUGGGUAUGGGAAUCUCUGUCAGCUGUUACUUGCUGCAGAUCUCUAGUUAUUGUCUAUGAUAGCAUUUGUCUUCUACAAAUUGGUGUGGCAGCUGAAUCUCACAAUAAGGGUGAAGCACUGGCUGUGGAUGCUGCCAAAUUGAUGCAAGGUUCACUUUAUCAAGCUGUCAUGAAGUCUGGAGCUCAGAAUUAUUUGGCCAAUCUCUCUCUCUAUCCUGGGAGAUCUGAGCUGCCAUUUUUCCCUUCAAAUACACAGGCAGUGAUUUUACAGCCACUUGGAGCCAAAGGAAUUGCAAUAAUUGGUGGUCACACAAUUAGGGGUUUCACAAGUUCUGACCAGGCAUGGAUUACGUUUAUUGGGGACAAACUUGAUUCUACACUAGGAAAGUAUGCGAUCAACAGGCCAUUGGCAGUGCAAGAUAGAGUUUGAACCGAGCACUUGUAGGUUCUUUCGAACUCAUGUAUGUUACUAUGUUCCAUAUUUGAUGUAUCCUUUAUGCGAGUUUAUAUUGAGACCGGAACAAAGGUAUCAAGAUUCCAGAUUCAACAUCCUACAUGGUGCCAGGCAAUUCUAUGCUACUCCUGAUCCUCAAUUUUAUGAUAUUGUGAAUUCUAAUGUAUGCGUUCUCGCACUUACUUUGGAACAUUUAUUUUUUCUUAGAGAUUAUUUUGAUACUAGCAGUGAUAUGGAUUCCCCAGUUUAGCAUGAGUACAUGUAAUUGACAAUCUGUGAAUAGUGAUGUAAAGAUAAAUUAUUGGGACGUGAUUUGACUAAUUUUGUCCUUUGUUUAUUGCAUUAA